RNAcentral lists this transfer RNA (76 nucleotides) under compost metagenome. Its description in RNAcentral is "tRNA-Arg". It matches the Rfam family "tRNA". From Rfam's summary of the family: Transfer RNA (tRNA) molecules are approximately 80 nucleotides in length. Their secondary structure includes four short double-helical elements and three loops (D, anti-codon, and T loops). Further hydrogen bonds mediate the characteristic L-shaped molecular structure. tRNAs have two regions of fundamental functional importance: the anti-codon, which is responsible for specific mRNA codon recognition, and the 3' end, to which the tRNAs corresponding amino acid is attached (by aminoacyl-tRNA synthetases). tRNAs cope with the degeneracy of the genetic code in two manners: having more than one tRNA (with a specific anti-codon) for a particular amino acid; and 'wobble' base-pairing, i.e. permitting non-standard base-pairing at the 3rd anti-codon position. The record is from RNAcentral.
UGCUCCUUUAGCUCAGUAGGAUAGAGCAAAGGUUUCCUAAACCUUAGGUCGUGAGUUCAAAUCUCUCAAGGAGCGU